AAGUUCACUGUAGUCCUCACCAUAUC
This 26-nucleotide small RNA is filed under the name Bombyx mori (domestic silkworm). Its description in RNAcentral is "ovarian small RNA-10715". Lineage: Eukaryota; Metazoa; Arthropoda; Insecta; Lepidoptera; Bombycidae. The record is from RNAcentral.